UCCCCGGUGGUCCAGUGGUUAAGACUCUGCACUUUCGCUGCAGGAGGCACAGGUUUGAUCCCUGGCCGGGGAA
Molecule: non-coding RNA, 73 nt
Organism: Budorcas taxicolor (takin)
Lineage: Eukaryota; Metazoa; Chordata; Mammalia; Artiodactyla; Bovidae
Source: the annotation of a RefSeq genome assembly